This is a long non-coding RNA of Podarcis muralis (Common wall lizard), 1968 nucleotides long. NCBI's taxonomy places the organism in Eukaryota, Metazoa, Chordata, Lepidosauria, Squamata, Lacertidae. The record is from Ensembl.
AUGAUGGGGCCAAAAGAAACGGGGGCGUUUGCAGUCCCAGAUUUAAGAAGAUAUUUUGAAGCAGCAUGCUGGAGUUGGAUGAAAGAGUGGAUGUUACUAAAAGAUACUGAAGUUUUGGAACUAGAAGGCUGGGACAAAAUAUACGGUUGGCAUGGAUAUUUAUUCUAUGGGAAAAUGCAAUUGCAUAAAGGAUUUACGAACCGCCUUGUGAGAAAGGCCCUAUUUGAGGUAUGGGAGAGAACAAAAGAGAGAAUUAUAGAAAGAACUCCAAGGUGGACCUCUCCAAUAGAGGCAACCUCGACAUUAAAAAAAAAAAAUGCCUGGCCAAUUUAUAGAGAUUUAGCAGAAGGAAUGAAUGAAAAUACAGUGGUACAUCAGGUUAAGUACUUAAUUCAUUCCGGAGGUCCGUACUUAACCUGAAACUGUUCUUGACCUGAAGCACCACUUUAGCUAAUGGGGCCUCCUGCUGCUGCCACACUGCCGGAGCACGAUUUCUGUUCUCAUCCUGAAGCAAAGUUCCUAACCUGAAGCACUAUUUCUGGGUUAGCGGAGUCUGUAACCUAAAGCGUAUGUAACCUGAAGCGUAUGUAACCCGAAGUACCACUGUAUCAAAUUAAAAGAAUACGAAGAACUCAAAAUACUGGGAAUAAAUUGGUUAGAAUAUUUCCAACUUAAGGCUACAUACAAGAAAGAUAUAAAAACUAGGGGAUUUGGGAAAUAAAAUAUCAAAAUUAGAAAGAGAGGCUUUACAAAAUAAUCAAAAAAACUCUCCAAAAUAUAUAGAUUAUUAGAUAAAGUCCUCCCAGAUCAAGAAGUCAAAGGAGAGAAUAUUCUAAAGUGGGAACGGGAUUUAGGAUAUACAAUUGAUUCUGAAGAUUGGAAAAAGUUUUGGGGAAAAAAUAUGAAUUUUACAGCUUAGUAUUCAUUAAGAGAUAAUUAUAUGAAGAUGCACCACAGAUGGUAUAUGGCACCAGACAGACUGGCAAAAACGAAUAGAUCAAAUAGUAAUAAAUGCUGGAGAUGUAAUAGAAUGAAAGGCACUCUAUAGCAAAUGUGGUGGACAUGUCCAGAGAUCAGAAAAUUUUGGGAGAUGAUCCAUGAAGAGAUUAAAAAAUUGAUAAAAGUAUCAUAUAUCAGGAGGGCAGAAGCAUAUUUACUAGGAAUCUUGAGUAAGCAUAUCCCCAAAGACAAAAUUAACAUCUUUCUGUAUGCAACAACAGCAGCGAAAAUGUUGGUAGCCAGUCAUUGGAAAGGAAAUUAUAUCCCAACAAAAGGGGACUAGUUAAGUAAACUAUGUGAGUACCUGGAGUUAGCAAAAUUGACGGAUUUAAUGAGGCAUAAAUCCAAAACUAUAAUACAGAAACAAUGGGAAUGCUUACAUGAAUAUUGAUACAAGCAGGGCUCAAAUGUGAAAGUUUGGCUGCGCUUAGACUAACCUUGUGAAGAAUACAGAGAACAUAAAGAUUUGACGGAUUAUGAAAGAACCUAAGGAAGGGAAAUGAUUGAAGAACAGAUGUAAAGGCGAGCAAGAUAACCAAGAGACGUGUGGUGAAUGCGGUGGAAGUUUUAAAAAAAUAUUUUAACUAGGAUUUAUAUAUUGUAAUGCUUGAAGGAGUCAAAAUUGAAGGAGUGAAGCAGUUAGCAAUUAAAGCUAAAGAGCUAGCCCAGGAAAAUGAAAAAAAUUAACUACACUAUCUAAACAGGGGGCAGAAUUGCCGGACCCCCAGAGAACAGCUAAUAUGAUUUUGGGAGGAAUUCCGGAAGAAAUACAGGCUAAAGAGUUGGAAGAAACUUUGAGAACCUGGCUAUGCUCCAACUCCAUCGUUCUGCCUGGACACUGAGGUCCAGCGCCAAGGGCCUUCUGGCGGUUCCCUUGGUAUGAGAAGCCAAGUAACAGGGAACCAGGCAGAGGGCCUUCUCGGUAGUGGCACCCACCCUGUGGAACGCCCUCCCAUCAGAUGUCAAAGA